This 492-nucleotide ribosomal RNA is filed under the name uncultured bacterium. RNAcentral's name for it is "partial 16S ribosomal RNA". It matches the Rfam family "Bacterial small subunit ribosomal RNA", at positions 29 to 507 of the family's 1533-position model. The record is from RNAcentral.
AGUGAACGCUGGCGGUAGGCCUAACACAUGCAAGUCGAACGGCAGCACCGUAAGAGCUUGCUCUUACGGGUGGCGAGUGGCGGACGGGUGCGGAAUACAUCGGAAUCUACUUUUUCGUGGGGGAUAACGUAGGGAAACUUACGCUAAUACCGCAUACGACCUACGGGUGAAAGCAGGGGAUCUUCGGACCUUGCGCGAUUGAAUGAGCCGAUGUCGGAUUAGCUAGUUGGCGGGGUAAAGGCCCACCAAGGCGACGAUCCGUAGCUGGUCUGAGAGGAUGAUCAGCCAGACUGGAACAGAGACACGGUCCAGACUCCGACGGGAGGCAGUAGUGGGGAAUAUUGGACGAUGGGCGCAAGCCUGAUCCAGCAAUACCGCGUGGGUGAAGAAGGCCUUCGGGUUGUAAAGCCCUUUUGUUGGGAAAGAAAAGCAGCAGGUUAAUACCCCGCUGUUCUGACGGUACCCAAAGAAUAAGCACCGGCUAACUUCGUG